RNAcentral lists this transfer RNA (82 nucleotides) under Rhipicephalus microplus (southern cattle tick). Its description in RNAcentral is "tRNA-Ser". It matches the Rfam family "tRNA". From Rfam's summary of the family: Transfer RNA (tRNA) molecules are approximately 80 nucleotides in length. Their secondary structure includes four short double-helical elements and three loops (D, anti-codon, and T loops). The record is from Rfam by way of RNAcentral. Lineage: Eukaryota; Metazoa; Arthropoda; Arachnida; Ixodida; Ixodidae. RNAcentral also lists the same sequence under 1 other name.
GCAGCCGUGGCCGAGUGGUUAAGGCGAUGGACUCGAAAUCCAUUGGGGUCUCCCCGCACAGGUUCGAAUCCUGUCGGCUGCG